RNAcentral lists this transfer RNA (68 nucleotides) under Caerostris darwini. RNAcentral describes it as "tRNA-Glu". It matches the Rfam family "tRNA". Rfam says of the family: Transfer RNA (tRNA) molecules are approximately 80 nucleotides in length. Their secondary structure includes four short double-helical elements and three loops (D, anti-codon, and T loops). The record is from RNAcentral. Lineage: Eukaryota; Metazoa; Arthropoda; Arachnida; Araneae; Araneidae.
GCAUGGUCUAGUGGCUAGGAUACCUGGCUCUCACCCAGGAGGCCCGGGUUCGAUUCCCGGUGGAAGCA